AUUGAACGCUGGCGGCAUGCCUUACACAUGCAAGUCGAACGGCAGCAUGGAAGAGCUUGCUCUUCUGAUGGCGAGUGGCGAACGGGUGAGUAAAGCAUCGGAACGUACCGUGUAGUGGGGGAUAACGUAGCGAAAGUUACGCUAAUACCGCAUACGCACUGAGGUGGAAAGCAGGGGAUCGCAAGACCUUGCGCUAUACGAGCGGCCGAUGUCAGAUUAGCUAGUUGGUAGGGUAAAGGCCUACCAAGGCGACGAUCUGUAGCGGGUCUGAGAGGAUGAUCAGACACACUGGAACUGAGACACGGUCCAGACUCCUACGGGAGGCAGCAGUGGGGGAAUUUUCCGCAAUGGGCGAAAGCCUGACGGAGCAAUACCGCGU
RNAcentral lists this ribosomal RNA (379 nucleotides) under uncultured bacterium. Its description in RNAcentral is "bacterial SSU rRNA". It matches the Rfam family "Bacterial small subunit ribosomal RNA", at positions 30 to 402 of the family's 1533-position model. The record is from RNAcentral.